This 278-nucleotide long non-coding RNA is filed under the name Anser brachyrhynchus (Pink-footed goose). RNAcentral's name for it is "lncRNA (ENSABRG00000007511.1)". The record is from RNAcentral. Lineage: Eukaryota; Metazoa; Chordata; Aves; Anseriformes; Anatidae.
UGCUUGAAUACAUGCUGUCCAUUCAGCUGAGUAUCAGGGAUGUGAUAAUAACAGAUGAAAGCAAAAAAAGGUUACCAUAACUGAAAUAGGUGUAGCAACACAUGAAUGUCUUCCCUCUGAGAAAUGCACUGUACCAUUUUAUCAUCUGGUGCAAUAAGAUGCCAUCAUACAGUGAGAUCAUCCUUCUGAUCCUGUCCAGAACCUGCUUUAGAGUGAUGCCGUUAACACAAGACCCUCUGGCUCCUGUAAACUGAAAUGAAAUAAUCAACCGAAUUUUC